UAUGUAGAUUGUUUGAAAAUACUAUAAGUUUUAGAAAAGGCUUCUAUUUUACAUGGGGGAUUCCCCUUCCUGUACUACCUGGAGCAACCAGCUGGUGGAAGGAGGCAGCAGCAGCAGGUACAGAUCCCUCUGCUCUUGGGAACUCACAACUCAUGGAGGAAGUCUCAUUUCUGCCUUACGAUGAUUUUCUGUUUGAAGUCACUCCAAACCUCUUGUGUUAUAAGACUCCGCAUUUUUCAUACAGAUUGUUUUUGGGCUACUGAACACAUGAAAGAGGUUAAAAAGCAUUUUCCAUGCAACUCACUGACACAGCACCUCCAAGCCACAGAUUCUGGGGGACCUCAGGAUGCUUAGAUCUAGAGAUAAGCUGUGUCAUGAAAUAUGGGAUUUUGACCUACUACGGUGAUCUCAGAAGAGAAGAAAAGCAACUGGGACUGAUUAUCCUGAUCUGAUAUGCAGAUAUGGCUCUGAAUUAAUCUUCUAUUUUAUAUAGACUACAGGCUUCAUUAUUAAUAACAUAUUACUUGUAUGUUCUGCUGUGUCAAAACUGGCAGUAGGGAGUUAUUCUCCCACCUAUUGUGAAUGUAUUAUUAAGAGGAAAAUAUUUUUGUAAUACCUGUAAACAUUCUCAAGUUUCACUGAACUUGCAUAAUAUAAUUAUCUUUUUGUAGAAAUGAGCCCUGGAAAUACCUAAGUCACCACAGGAGAAGUUAUGUGCUGAGACAGAGAUUUAUUUGAUAAGUUUUGUAAAGAUAAGCUGCAGUGUCUUUCCUGGAAAUAACUGCACAAACUUUAUGGAAAAUACAGGCAAUUUUUGAUUUCCAGUUAACUCCAGUCAUGUAACCUGAUGUUCAUUAUUUAUAACUGCGUGCAUUUGUCCAGCUAACGCAGACUGUCGUACCUUUGUGAAAUGAGUUAUAAACAUUCUCCUAAUAAAUGCCAAAUGUAUGGGUUACCA
This 958-nucleotide long non-coding RNA is filed under the name Phasianus colchicus (ring-necked pheasant). RNAcentral describes it as "lncRNA (ENSPCLG00000003783.1)". Lineage: Eukaryota; Metazoa; Chordata; Aves; Galliformes; Phasianidae. The record is from RNAcentral.